UUUAUGGAGAGUUUGAUCCUGGCUCAGAGUGAACGCUGGCGGCGUGCCUAAUACAUGCAAGUCGAACGAUGAAGCUUCUAGCUUGCUAGAAGUGGAUUAGUGGCGCACGGGUGAGUAACGCAUAGGUCAUGUGCCUCUUAGUUUGGGAUAGCCAUUGGAAACGAUGAUUAAUACCAGAUACUCCCUACGGGGGAAAGAUUUAUCGCUAAGAGAUCAGCCUAUGUCCUAUCAGCUUGUUGGUAAGGUAAUGGCUUACCAAGGCUAUGACGGGUAUCCGGCCUGAGAGGGUGAACGGACACACUGGAACUGAGACACGGUCCAGACUCCUACGGGAGGCAGCAGUAGGGAAUAUUGCUCAAUGGGGGAAACCCUGAAGCAGCAACGCCGCGUGGAGGAUGAAGGUUUUAGGAUUGUAAACUCCUUUUGUUAGAGAAGAUAAUGACGGUAUCUAACGAAUAAGCACCGGCUAACUCCGUGCCAGCAGCCGCGGUAAUACGGAGGGUGCAAGCGUUACUCGGAAUCACUGGGCGUAAAGAGCGCGUAGGCGGGAUAGUCAGUCAGGUGUGAAAUCCUAUGGCUUAACCAUAGAACUGCAUUUGAAACUACUAUUCUAGAGUGUGGGAGAGGUAGGUGGAAUUCUUGGUGUAGGGGUAAAAUCCGUAGAGAUCAAGAGGAAUACUCAUUGCGAAGGCGACCUGCUGGAACAUUACUGACGCUGAUUGCGCGAAAGCGUGGGGAGCAAACAGGAUUAGAUACCCUGGUAGUCCACGCCCUAAACGAUGGAUGCUAGUUGUUGGAGGGCUUAGUCUCUCCAGUAAUGCAGCUAACGCAUUAAGCAUCCCGCCUGGGGAGUACGGUCGCAAGAUUAAAACUCAAAGGAAUAGACGGGGACCCGCACAAGCGGUGGAGCAUGUGGUUUAAUUCGAAGAUACACGAAGAACCUUACCUAGGCUUGACAUUGAGAGAAUCCGCUAGAAAUAGUGGAGUGUCUAGCUUGCUAGACCUUGAAAACAGGUGCUGCACGGCUGUCGUCAGCUCGUGUCGUGAGAUGUUGGGUUAAGUCCCGCAACGAGCGCAACCCCCUUUCUUAGUUGCUAACAGGUCAUGCUGAGAACUCUAAGGAUACUGCCUCCGUAAGGAGGAGGAAGGUGGGGACGACGUCAAGUCAUCAUGGCCCUUACGCCUAGGGCUACACACGUGCUACAAUGGGGUGCACAAAGAGAAGCAAUACUGCGAAGUGGAGCCAAUCUUCAAAACGUCUCUCAGUUCGGAUUGUAGGCUGCAACUCGCCUGCAUGAAGCUGGAAUCGCUAGUAAUCGCAAAUCAGCCAUGUUGCGGUGAAUACGUUCCCGGGUCUUGUACUCACCGCCCGUCACACCAUGGGAGUUGUGUUUGCCUUAAGUCAGGAUGCUAAACUAGCUACUGCCCACGGCACACACAGCGACUGGGGUGAAGUCGUAACAAGGUAACCGUAGGUGAACCUGCGGUUGGAUCACCUCCUUUCUAGA
RNAcentral lists this ribosomal RNA (1508 nucleotides) under Helicobacter pylori. RNAcentral describes it as "bacterial SSU rRNA". It matches the Rfam family "Bacterial small subunit ribosomal RNA". The record is from RNAcentral. Lineage: Bacteria; Pseudomonadati; Campylobacterota; Epsilonproteobacteria; Campylobacterales; Helicobacteraceae.